UGAAUACGAGACGCUACGGCGUCGAAGCAGUCUAUGUCAUACUUCCAAGAAAAGCUUGCACUGUCAUAAACAAAUAAUGCCUGUACCAUAACCGACACAGGUGGGUAGGUAGAGUAUACUAAGGGGCGCGAGAUAACUCUCUCUAAGGAACUCGGCAAAAUGACUCCGUAACUUCGGGAGAAGGAGUGCCUUAUUCGUAAGGUUGCAAUAACAAGAUCCAAGCAACUGUUUAUCAAAAACACAGGUCUCCGCUAAGUCGUAAGACGAUGUAUGGGGGCUGACGCCUGCCCAGUGCCAGAAGGUUAAAGAAGUUGGUUAGCAUUCGCGAAGCUGAUAACUGAAGCCCUGGUGAACGGCGGCCGUAACAAUAACGGUCCUAAGGUAGCGAAAUUCCUUGUCGGGUAAGUUCCGACCCGCACGAAAGGCGUAAUGAUUUGGAUACUGUCUCGGAGAGAGGCUCGGUGAAAUAGACUUGUCUGUGAAGAUGCGGACUACCUGCACCUGGACAGAAAGACCCUAUGAAGCUUUACUGUAACUUGAAAUUGAAAUUGGACUUUAUUUGCGCAGUAUAGGUGGGAGGCGUUGAGAAUAUUCUUGCGGGAAUAUUGGAGCCAUCAGUGAGAUACCACUCUUGUAAUGUUAGAUUUCUAACUUUGGAUCAUUAUCUGGUCAAAGGACAGUUUCAGGCGGGCAGUUUGACUGGGGCGGUCGCCUCCCAAACGGUAACGGAGGCGUACAAAGGUUUCCUCUGAACGGGUAGAAAUCGUAUCUAGAGUGUAAAGGCAUAAGGAAGCUUGACUGUGAGACCUACAAGUCGAGCAGGGACGAAAGUCGGUCUUAGUGAUCUGACGGUGCUGAGUGGAAAGGCCGUCACUCAACGGAUAAAAGUUACUCUAAGGAUAACAGGCUGAUCUCCCCCAAGAGUUCACAUCGACGGGGAGGUUUGGCACCUCGAUGUCGGCUCAUCGCAUCCUGGGGCGGUAGUACGUCCCAAGGGUUGGGCUGUUCGCCCAUGUAAGCGGUACGCGAGCUGGGUUCAGAACGUCGUGAGACAGUUCGGUCCAUAUCCGGUGUAGGCGUUAGAAUAUUGAGAGGAGCCUUCUUUAGUACGAGAGGACCGAGAAGGACAUACCUCUGGUGUACCAGUUAUCGUGCCAACGGUAAACGCUGGGUAGCUAUGUAUGGAGAGGAUAACCGCUGAAAGCAUCUAAGUGGGAAGCCCACCUCAAGAUAAG
Molecule: ribosomal RNA, 1235 nt
Filed under: metagenome
Description: bacterial LSU rRNA
Rfam family: Bacterial large subunit ribosomal RNA
Source: RNAcentral